GGGAAUUAGAAUUUACCUCAAUUUCUUGAUGGUUAAACAUUGUGUUGCACCUUCCUUCCUUGCUUUUGAAUUGCUUGGAUUCUGAGGGUUUUCCAUAUAUAAUCCAACAUGUUUCCUUCAUGUGGCCUAGCCUCUUGCAAUGAUCACACCAGGGGCGAGUUUUCUUUUGUGGUUGUCGAUGGUGGUUUCCUCUUGCUCCCAUUGCAAAGCUUUCAAAGGAUUGUAUCGAGAUGGAUGUCUCCAACAUUAGUUUUCUCUUGCUUUCUUCCCUUCUCACUUCUAAGAAGACUUCCCGAAUUUUUGGAAGUGGUUUGGUUCUAAGGAUCCUUCCACGAACUUCAUCAAGAUCCUUAUUUAGUCCCAAUAUGAACUUGUAAAUCCUAUCUUUUUCGACCAAUUCCUUAUGCUUUUUUUUAUCCUUUAUACAACACCAUGCAACUUCUUCAUAUGUGUUCCGUUGUUGCCACUGUUUGUUGAGUAUGUUAAGAUACUCAGCAACAAAGGAUUCUCCUUGUCAAAGGUCAUAUAGUACGCUUUUUAUCUCAAACACAACAAAUGUAUUGUCUACAUUUGAGUAUGUCUCCUUCAUUGCAUCCCAUGUCUUUUGUAGUGUCAUAGAACGUGAAAUUUUCACCAAUUUCAUUAGUCAUAGUGUUGAGUAGCCAUGACAUCACUUGGUUGUUUUCAAGUUGCCAUUUUUUAAGGUUGGUGUCCUCUUUAUCAGGGCACUUAGAAUCUCAUGUGAUGUAGCCUUCCCUCUCAUUUCCUUGGAGGAGGAUCUUGACAGACCUUAACCAUUGAGUAUAGUUG
Molecule: long non-coding RNA, 810 nt
Filed under: Lupinus angustifolius (narrow-leaved blue lupine)
Lineage: Eukaryota; Viridiplantae; Streptophyta; Magnoliopsida; Fabales; Fabaceae
Description: long non-coding RNA (LANG_LNC003215)
Source: RNAcentral